AUAUAUACACGUGUUAUUUGUUUGAAGUUUGAACCAUAACAUGGCUCUACACAAAUGUCAUCAAAUCACAUGAGCAGCUGCCCGUUUUCGUUACUACGAGAGUAACAAUCUUGCAGUAAAACUUUUUUCACAUUAGUAGAUGAAAAAAUAUUGCGUCAAUUCAUCCGAAACCACAUACUACAUUAAGCAUGGGGAGAGACAAUUUGGAUAUUAAUAUUGCUACGUAAGGUAACGAUUUCAAAGAAAAUGCAGUCCAGAAUUUUUUUUAAGAAAAUCUCACAAAUAAGGAUAUACCUCACUGGACCACAUACAUUGCUUAGAGAAAGAAACUACAGCACCAAAACAAUGCUC
RNAcentral lists this long non-coding RNA (351 nucleotides) under Setaria viridis. Its description in RNAcentral is "long non-coding RNA (SVIR_LNC002996)". Lineage: Eukaryota; Viridiplantae; Streptophyta; Magnoliopsida; Poales; Poaceae. The record is from RNAcentral.